UUGUAAAAUAACUGAUUUGGUAUAUACAUUUUUCAGUUAUGAUGAUUUAAAGCCACCAUCAUCUCCUUCUCCAACCAAGCCUAGUGAGAAGAAACAGAUAAACAUCAGUGAUGCAGUUCCAACACCUAUUUCUUCGGAUACUCCAAGUAGCAUUCAAGAAAUAGAUGGCAUUUCUCAGACAACAUCUUCCUCAAAAGGGAAGGAGUCUCUAUCUCCUUACGCAGCGUAAGCCGCUUUAUAAUUUUAUAGUGAUAUCAUAUAUCAGUUCAACCAUCCCAGAUUAGAUUUGUACUUUUCUUGUGUUUAUACAUACCUGUAGAUAUCCUGAUUUAAAGCCUCCUAGUUCACCAUCUCCGAGUGUACCAACUACAUCACUAUCGAAGAUAGAUACAGUAGUAGUAUCAAGCAAUGGACCAGCUCAACUUUCUGUGGAAGAUACACCAAAGAAUGAAGAACAGCACCUUCAUGAACCAAAGUCAAGGCCACUUUCACCUUAUGCAAUGUAAGUUGAUUCCUUCUUAUAGAAGAAAGAAAGAGAGGGACUUGGAUUCUUGAUUGAGAUCUACCUGCAGUCACUAUUUGAUCUCCG
Molecule: long non-coding RNA, 589 nt
Filed under: Lathyrus oleraceus (garden pea)
Lineage: Eukaryota; Viridiplantae; Streptophyta; Magnoliopsida; Fabales; Fabaceae
Description: Pisum sativum (pea) long non-coding RNA (PSAT_LNC030917)
Source: RNAcentral